UGGGGAAGUCAUUGCGUCAAUGGCCAUAAGCCAGGCUGACGCAGCGACGCCGCGUGUGGGAUGGAAGCAUCUUCGGAGUGUAAACCACUGUUGCCCGGGACGAAUAGCUCGAUUAAUCGAGCCUGACGGUACCGGGUGAGGAAGCACCGGCUAACUCCGUGCCAACAGCCGCGGUAAUACGGGGGUGCGAGCGUUGUCCGGAAUCACUGGGCGUAAAGGGCGCGUAGGUGGUUUGAUAAGGGUGUGGUGAAAGUCCGGGGCUCAACCCGCAGUCUGCCGUGCCGACUGUCAAACUCGAGGACUGUAGAGGCAGACGGAAUUCCGGGUGUAGCGGUGGAAUUGCGUAGAGAUCCGGAGGAAGACCGGUGGCGAAGGCGGUCUGCUGGGCAGUUUUCUGACACUGAGGCGCGACAGCGUGGGGAGCAAGCA
This 429-nucleotide ribosomal RNA is filed under the name uncultured Gemmatimonas sp. RNAcentral describes it as "bacterial SSU rRNA". It matches the Rfam family "Bacterial small subunit ribosomal RNA", at positions 355 to 774 of the family's 1533-position model. Lineage: Bacteria; Pseudomonadati; Gemmatimonadota; Gemmatimonadia; Gemmatimonadales; Gemmatimonadaceae. The record is from RNAcentral.